RNAcentral lists this small RNA (691 nucleotides) under Pongo abelii (Sumatran orangutan). RNAcentral's name for it is "retained intron". Lineage: Eukaryota; Metazoa; Chordata; Mammalia; Primates; Hominidae. The record is from RNAcentral.
UUUUCAUUCUUUUUAAGUAUGAGUCUUCCUAACAUAAAGCUGACAUAAAUGUGAUCUGUUUCCCUUUGUGACAUGCUUAAACGGUCCAGUGUUCACGUCAUUGUAGUUUCAUCACCGGACAUUUGCCGUGUUGUUAUUCCUGUUUAAUGCCCAAAAGUCCAUCUUCAGUGUGGGCUGCUUGUGGGCAUUUGGUGGGCAUUUCUGUGAAAAUUUCUAUAGAUUAGCUCGGGAUAUUGGGUUCAAGUUUCUCCUUCCACUGGACCUGAUGGAAAAUCCACUUCUCAGCGAUGCCCUGGACCGCCCAGCGAUACUGAUUCUCAGUUGUCUCUUAGGCUGGAGAAUCGGGAAGGGAGAAGGCUACGCCGAUCUGGAAUAUGCCAUGAUGGUAUCCAUGGGCGCCAUCAGCAAGGAGACGCCGGUGGUCACCAUCGUCCACGACUGCCAGGUCGUGGACAUCCCUGAAGAGCUUGUUGAGGAGCACGACAUCACCGUGGACUACAUCCUCACUCCAACCAGAGUCAUCGCCACAGGCUGCAAGCGCCCAAAGCCGAUGGGAAUCACCUGGUUCAAGAUCAGCCGGGAGAUGAUGGAGAAAAUCCCCAUAUUGAGGAGCCUCCGUGCCCGAGAGCAGCAGGCUGGGAAGGAUGUCACCCUCCAGGGUGAGCACCAGCACCUUUCGGAACCAGGCCGC